UACCUGGUCUUAUUCCGUGCUGGAUGU
This 27-nucleotide non-coding RNA is filed under the name Rattus norvegicus (Norway rat). Lineage: Eukaryota; Metazoa; Chordata; Mammalia; Rodentia; Muridae. The record is from RNAcentral.